RNAcentral lists this ribosomal RNA (497 nucleotides) under uncultured bacterium. RNAcentral describes it as "partial 16S ribosomal RNA". It matches the Rfam family "Bacterial small subunit ribosomal RNA", at positions 28 to 507 of the family's 1533-position model. The record is from RNAcentral.
GAUGAACGCUGGCGGCGUGCCUAAUACAUGCAAGUCGAGCGAACAGACGAGGAGCUUGCUCCUCUGACGUUAGCGGCGGACGGGUGAGUAACACGUGGAUAACCUACCUAUAAGACUGGGAUAACUUCGGGAAACCGGAGCUAAUACCGGAUAAUAUAUUGAACCGCAUGGUUCAAUAGUGAAAGACGGUUUUGCUGUCACUUAUAGAUGGAUCCGCGCCGCAUUAGCUAGUUGGUAAGGUAACGGCUUACCAAGGCAACGAUGCGUAGCCGACCUGAGAGGGUGAUCGGCCACACUGGAACUGAGACACGGUCCAGACUCCUACGGGAGGCAGCAGUAGGGAAUCUUCCGCAAUGGGCGAAAGCCUGACGGAGCAACGCCGCGUGAGUGAUGAAGGUCUUCUGAUCGUAAAACUCUGUUAUUAGGGAAGAACAAAGGUUUAAGUAACUAUGCACGUCUUGACGGUACCUAAUCAGAAAGCCACGGCUAACUACGUG